AUUGAACGCUGGCGGCAGGCCUAACACAUGCAAGUCGAACGGUAACAGGAAGCAGCUUGCUGCUUCACUGACGAGUGGCGGACGGGUGAGUAAUGUCUGGGAAAUUGCCUGAUGGAGGGGGAUAACUACUGGAAACGGUAGCUAAUACCGCAUAAUGUCGCAAGACCAAAGAGGGGGACCUUCGGGCCUCUUGCCAUCGGAUGUGCCCAGAUGGGAUUAGCUUGUUGGUGGGGUAACGGCUCACCAAGGCGACGAUCCCUAGCUGGUCUGAGAGGAUGACCAGCCACACUGGAACUGAGACACUGUCCAGACUCCUACGGGAGGCAGCAGUGGGGAAUAUUGCACAAUGGGCGCAAGCCUGAUGCAGCCAUGCCGCGUGUAUGAAGAAGGCCUUCGGGUUGUAAAGUACUUUCAGCGGGGAGGAAGGGAGUAAAGUUAAUACCUUUGCUCAUUGACGUUACCCGCAGAAGAAGCACCGGCUAACUCCGUGCCAGCAGCCGCGGUAA
Molecule: ribosomal RNA, 506 nt
Filed under: uncultured bacterium
Lineage: Bacteria
Description: partial 16S ribosomal RNA
Rfam family: Bacterial small subunit ribosomal RNA
Source: RNAcentral